GAUAAGGGGAGAGAUUUUAGGGAUUUGAGAGGGAGAUAGAGUUAGCCAAUUUGAGGGGAUUAGAGAGGGGAUUUCGGCAGAGGGGUAUUAGGUUAGAAUUUUCGGCAUUAGGGACUAGGUUGUGCCAUUUUCUUCUUUUGGUUUAGUCUUUUUCUCUCUUUUUCUUUUCCAGCCGAAUCUAUCACCUUUCCCUUCAACUUUUCUCCCUUUUCUUUCUCAAAAACCAGCCCACUACUCCCUUCCAUUCAUCUAUUGUUUCUUUCCCUUACCUCCACAUCUGCCGAAAAAACGCAAAAGCCGAAACCUGUGAAGCUAGGUGGUGUCGAAAGCUUGUUGACC
This 339-nucleotide long non-coding RNA is filed under the name Gossypium barbadense (sea-island cotton). RNAcentral describes it as "long non-coding RNA (GBAR_LNC008118)". Lineage: Eukaryota; Viridiplantae; Streptophyta; Magnoliopsida; Malvales; Malvaceae. The record is from RNAcentral.